RNAcentral lists this ribosomal RNA (398 nucleotides) under uncultured bacterium. RNAcentral describes it as "partial 16S ribosomal RNA". It matches the Rfam family "Bacterial small subunit ribosomal RNA", at positions 523 to 918 of the family's 1533-position model. The record is from RNAcentral.
AUACGUAGGGUGCGAGCGUUGUCCGGAAUUACUGGGCGUAAAGAGCUCGUAGGUGGUUUGUUGCGUCGUCUGUGAAAUUCCGGGGCUUAACUCCGGGCGUGCAGGCGAAACGGGCAUAACUGGAGCUCUGUAGGGGAGACUGGAAUUCCUGGUGAAGCGGUGAAAUGCGCAGAUAUCAGGAGGAACACCGGUGGCGAAGGCGGGUCUCUGGGCAGUAACUGACGCUGAGGAGCGAAAGCAUGGGUAGCAAACAGGAUUAGAUACCCUGGUAGUCCAUGCCGUAAACGGUGGGCGCUAGGUGUAGGGGUCUUCCACGACUUCUGUGCCGUAGCUAACGCAUUAAGCGCCCCGCCUGGGGAGUACGGCCGCAAGGCUAAAACUCAAAUGAAUUGACGGGG